Molecule: small nuclear RNA, 126 nt
Organism: Cricetulus griseus (Chinese hamster)
Lineage: Eukaryota; Metazoa; Chordata; Mammalia; Rodentia; Cricetidae
Source: Ensembl
GUCAUCAUUUUCAUAGUGUUGCCCUGCUGUUUGAUGAGGAGUUAGUGAGGGCAGUGCUGCUGCGAUCUACACAACACACCCUCUGAAAGCACACCUUCGCCUUACCUGUGCAUAAUUUCUAGAAAA